UGCAAUUCGAUGAUCUGGAGAAGUAGUAUUUGUCAAUGGUUACAGCGAGUUGGGGAGUGGUGCAAGCCUGACAACAACACAAAUAUCAAAAGAGCCAGUGAGAUUUUCCCUGAAAUAGCAGUAGGGGGAACGUAUUCCUGCGAUAAGGGUUUUUGAGUGGGUGUUUUAUCAAUAAGGUUUAUGCAAACACCAAUUAGAGUGGUACCACGGCAGCUCCGUCUCUUUA
This 226-nucleotide non-coding RNA is filed under the name Pseudobacteroides cellulosolvens. Its description in RNAcentral is "T-box sequence". It matches the Rfam family "T-box leader". Rfam says of the family: Uncharged tRNA acts as the effector for transcription antitermination of genes in the T-box leader family. T-boxes are found upstream of many aminoacyl-tRNA synthetase genes and some amino acid biosynthetic genes usually in Gram-positive bacteria. Lineage: Bacteria; Bacillati; Bacillota; Clostridia; Eubacteriales; Oscillospiraceae. The record is from RNAcentral.